GAGCCGAAAAUCUAACAUAUAGGCAAUUUGGACUUUCUAACACCCCAUGAAGGUACAUGAAGAAACCAUGAGGGAACAAAAUGUAGUAACCUAUAGAAAAUCAAUUUUAAUUUUAAUCUUCAUCCGCUCCCCUCUCCUUGAAUCGCUUUAGCAAUAUCAAUCUGAAGAAAAAUAUAGUAAAAAAUCAUCUCCCAUGAAUUUACACUUAGAAAGUUAAAGAAUGAUAAAUGGAAACAACCAUGUUAAAAACACAUAUUUGACACCUCCAAUUUCUCAUAAUAUCACACUAUGCACCUCAAUUUAUGGGAAAGUUAAUGGAGGAGAGCUUAUAAAGAUAAAGAUGUUGAGGUGCAUAGAUUGAUUUAAACUUGUGAGAGAUACUUUCAUUUUAUUGAUUGGUCCCUUUUACUCUGUUUGCUUUGUAAGUGUUCUUUCAGACCUUGUUGCAUUUUCCAGUGUUUCUUCUCCAAAAUAAAAAAUUAAAUAAGCCAAAGAAAGAGGCAAAAGUCCACAUCAUUAUUAUAGCUUAACCACAUUUUUAGUUGUAUAUUACUUAGUAAAUAUAUUUAUUAAUCACUAAAAAAUUGUAUAAAAUGGUAGAAUCUGGAAUUGACUACCAACAUGAUUAUUAUUAGUUGAUUACCUGGUCCACCCGUAGUACAGUGCAUGCAGCAUCCGCAACAUAUAUAAGAGAGAGCCU
This 700-nucleotide long non-coding RNA is filed under the name Vigna radiata. RNAcentral describes it as "long non-coding RNA (VRAD_LNC016231)". Lineage: Eukaryota; Viridiplantae; Streptophyta; Magnoliopsida; Fabales; Fabaceae. The record is from RNAcentral.